This 3002-nucleotide long non-coding RNA is filed under the name Mus musculus (house mouse). Its description in RNAcentral is "predicted gene, 19605". Lineage: Eukaryota; Metazoa; Chordata; Mammalia; Rodentia; Muridae. The record is from RNAcentral.
AAAGAGCGUUCUGUUUGGCUGUCAGUGUGUGUGCAUUAAAAACCUGGGCAUUUUCCGGCUUUCCAGAGUCUUCAUUUCUCACUAACUUUUAGAGCCAAAGAUGCUGCGGGAUUCUACAGCUCAGCAGAGCAUGGGGGCAGGGCAUGCCAGGCGAGUGACCUCAGUCCUAGUGUACUCUCUCUAACACUCAAGUGGAAGACGCCUGAUGGUGUUCUCUGCACUGCAGUUGUGGGCGACUGGAGCAGCUGCUGCUUGGAUAGCAAGCUGCUGAUCUCCUUUUCAAGAGCCCCGAGGCAGAGCAAGGAGAAGGGAGCCAUGAGAGAGCCUAUGCCUGGGCAUCUUGGGCACCCUGGGUAUCCUGAGAGGUGGCACCACAGCAGUCACAGCAGUCCCUGAGAGGACAGGGGUGGACAGGCCAGAGCUGCAGUGCUCUUCCCUCCUCCAGCAAAUGCAACAAGUGUUUCCUGGAUCUAGAACAGACACAGGCCCGCCCGCCCUCACAGACAGCGGGGCGAUGGCCGGCAUGAGACCCCAAACACCAAGUGAAGGGAAUGACUUGGACUAAUGUUUCACUGAGCAGGCCUGAGACUAUAAUCAACCUCUGAGGUUAAAUUACAAAGCACCCUUCACACCUCAAAUGACUGAGGCUUUUAUAUGACCCAGCAAUGAACAAGCACAGAGGGACAGGCAUCUCCCACACAAGGGGGACAUCACUAAUCUGGGAGUUAUGUGGACACAAUCUGCUAUGGGUCAGACGCUUCCCUCUGAAGUCAUGUAAGGAGCGGUUCCAAGACACGAACAGCGACAACAAAUGUUACAGAUAAGCUCACAGAUGAGUCGGCCUGUGACGCCUGGGAGGCACAAGGACCCUGAACAGAGCGGUCAGCAGUGCCGAGACUGGCAAGGAGGUGACAGUGGUCUCAGCAAACGGAGAGGCUUGGUAUACUCUGAAUAAGUGUGUAAGUAUCCUACAAGGCCAACUCUCUCCACUGCCUCCUCCCACCACGUGUGCUGAGGCUGGAACUGGGGUUCUUACACGUGGUAGGCAGGUACCUCUCCUCUGAGUUGUAUCCCUACCCCACUCACUAGAUUCCUAACAUUUUAGUGGGACCCAAUUCAAAUGUCAACAGUUCUUCUACAAUAAGAUGAACCAACUCAAAGUGCUGGUCUACAAUGUCAGCAUUUUUGAUGUUGCAAUUGCUUUAGUAGGGCACACAGCCACAAUUAUAUCCAGGAUGGGAGGAAUCAAGAUCCAUUUAGUAAGAGAUAAAAAUGAAAAUCUAAGAAAACAUUAUAAAAUCUACAUAGAAACAACAAAUGAAUGUCAAUUUAACACUGUACACUUGAUGUCCCUUCCUUGAAAGUACUGUGUCCCAGUGACAAUGAGCACCCCUCCCCCACCUCACCCCAGAUUCUGGUCUUCAAAGCACCCUCCACUGCAGGCCUGAGAGAGGGAGGAAUAUAACCAGCCUGGGAGGUGCCUCACUAUGCCAGAAAUCAAGGUAUCAAAAAUAGGUAGGAGGCAGGGGCCUGGCUCAGUGGGUAAAGUCCUUGCCAUGCUAGUAUGAGAGACUGAGUUCAAAUCGCUGGGAUCCAUGUAAUUCCAGUGGUUCUAUGGUGAGAUGGGAGACAGGAAGCCCUUGGGCCAGCUAGCUUACUGUGUGUGUCAUCAAACAAAAGACCUUCAUUCAAGGAAGGUGGAAGUCGAAGGGUGACACCUAAGUUAUCCUAUGACCUCCAAACACGUACCAUGGUCAGUCACACCAAUGCUCUACACAUAAAUGUACAUAUGCAAACAUACACAUACACACACACACACACACACACACACACAUCCAAAAAUACAUAGGCUGGGCUGGAGAGAUAGCUCAGUGGUUGGAAGCACUCCCUGCUCUUGCAGAGGAUCUGGGUUUGAGCCUCCCUAGUCAUACCCCAGGUCCCUUACCUGACCACUCUUUCUUUGUUUAGCUCCUAUCAGCUUAUCUGUGUAGUUUGGGGACAGCUAUGCUGGUUGCCAGCUUUCUGAGUCUGCUUCCUUAUAGGGUGUCUCUUUCCCUCCCAUUGGCAGGGAGCAGUUGUGGCUGAAGGCCUUUGUGGGCUACAAUGGGAACUGGCAGGCCAACGUGGUCUGGAGGCCCGACACAGGUAGGCUCCUAUCCUGUAACUCCAGUUUUAGGAGAUCUGAUGCCUUUUUCUGACCUCCACAGCCACCAGACACAGACAUGGCACACGUGUAUAUAUUCAGACAAAUCAUCCAUGCACAUAAAAUGAAUAACAACACUAAGCUAAAAAAAAUUUUUUUAAAGGCAUGGGUAGGGUUGAAAUCCUGCAUUUUAACAUUAGAAAGAAAGAUGAAAUCAACGAUAAUAAAAUAGUCACGCAUAAAAGGUUCAGAGGAAACUGGUAAUCCAAAGUCAGAAUAAUGCCUAGCCUAGUUUUCAUAUAUCUAGUUGGUAAGAAAAUAAUGUCUGUUAGCCCACUCCACUCCUGACUCUGAAGGGAUUAGCGAGGCCACGAAGCAUUCCUGUAUGGCUGACUGAUGUGGGAUUCAUGGUCAGGACAACAGAGUGGACCUCACAAGCUAUUCCUGCGCUUUCUGCAUUGCAUAGGGGGGAUGUGACUGCGUGACAGAGAGCAGUCGGCCAGCACCAUCACUUCUGCUAGGCCAACACAGAUGAUGUUGCUUCCACAGUGAAGAAAAAUGUCAUCGCCUGAGUCACACAGCCUCACCUUUGAUGUACUCCAGCCAAGACAGCCUCCACUUAGAGCACCUACAAGGGGGAGUGGGGCGCUGAGUAGCAGCUGGCUCGGCAGACUAUUUAUUAGUCAAGUGUCACGGCUUAAGGAAUUCCCAAACUGCAAGUAUUUGGCAAAAGGAUUCUGGCCCAAGAAAAACAAACAAAGCCUGCUGGAGGACUUUCAUUCUAAGGCCUCGAUUUGUUAAAAAUAUUUGAGGAUGGUGAUUAGCACAUCAUAAAAAUAAAGAGGCGCGCAGAAAGAAG